This 246-nucleotide long non-coding RNA is filed under the name Gossypium raimondii (Peruvian cotton). RNAcentral describes it as "long non-coding RNA (GRAI_LNC009809)". Lineage: Eukaryota; Viridiplantae; Streptophyta; Magnoliopsida; Malvales; Malvaceae. The record is from RNAcentral.
UUUUUCAUUUGUUCAUCCCUGAACCAAAUCUAAAGAUUCAUCACAUGGAUUCAGUCAACAAAAGGCCGAGAAAGGUAUGGAGAUUUCUUGUAGAAAAAUAAAUAAAUUCUAUCUUUUGGAUUGACGUGAUAUGGAAGGAGUUGUAACUAUCAAAUUCGUACUAGCCGUUGAGAUUUAGUUUGAAAUUUUAAGCAUAUGGACCACAAAAACUAAUAGUCGGCCAAUUUAAUUAGGAUUAUGGUCCAC